Molecule: long non-coding RNA, 1509 nt
Organism: Lepidothrix coronata (blue-crowned manakin)
Lineage: Eukaryota; Metazoa; Chordata; Aves; Passeriformes; Pipridae
Exons: 3
Source: RefSeq, a predicted model, not a curated record
CAGAGGUCAGCAGAAAGGUUUUCACUAAAUUCAAAGAACUGAAUAUAACUAUUCUUGUAAAGCCACUAAUUAUCCCCAAGGGCAUAAUUCCUGUCACUUUAGCAACUGGAGAGCCCAGCUACACCUCCAAUUCUUCCAUUAAAGGUGGCAAAGGCAGCCAGCCACCUCUACAGGAGACAUAAAUUUAUGAUCAGUCGAUUAAUUUGUUAGCAGCAGCAUCAAUAGAGACUGUAUUGAUUCAAACAUGAGGAGAGUAUAUUGAAAUAUCCAGGCUGAAGUAAAAUAUGCCCAACAACAGAGGGGAACACCGAGUACCCUGCUGACAUUUCCAUGCGAGGAGAGAAUGCUUUAUACAGGAAUACAGUGGGAACAAAAUCAAAAGCCAUUACCUGGAAUCAGCCAUUGAUGCAGCCAAUGUAAACCAGAGCAGCUGGUGGUCCAAGCAAUGGGAAAUUUUUAGAUUACUCCAUAAAUUGAUGCAGCUUGUCAGAAAAUAAGGUGAGGAGCUUGGAUGCGAGUGAAGCUUAAUGAAGUAGGGCCUCUAUAUCAGCGUUUCCCUAUUCCUACUCAGUCUUUACAAAGCUGAUGCAAAAUAAAAUCAAACUGAGCCAGUGGUAGUGCUGUGCUUUCAUGCAGGUCUGUAGGCACCAAGCAGGAAAUACUGCUGUUCAAAACUGGCUCUUCAGAAGCAACCCUACACACUAAGAUGGGAACACUGGUAAGUUCUCAAUCAUUUGCUGCAGAAGCUUUAUUUGCUGCUUAAAAGUAAUUUUAAGUAUAGCAAAUGCAAUUGCAUUGUUACUGAAUAGGUAUCUUCUUUCUAACUCCAUUAGGUACAUUUCCCAUGCCCACUGGACCAACAUAAAUCUUCAACAGAUGAAGUGGCAAAGGAGCACUUUGUGGUGUGUGUUCCCGAGCAACUGAAGGUUCCUUAGGUUAUGUCUGCAGCACAGCCAACCCUGCUCUGCCUGUCCAAAGGAAAGAGAGGAUGGAUUCACUGAAUUCUUGCAGCAAAAGUACUGGCCCAGGAAGGACCACUUCUGACCCCAGCACCUCCUCAGAACAUGAAGAGAGGUUUACACUCUGCACUUUCCCUUGACAACCACAGUGCUUGGAUAUAAUCAAAGCGGGAUAAUCCACAAAACCUACUCCCUACCAGCAGCUCCAAGCAAAAGUAUGCCAUGUAGCAUAACUUCAGGAACAACUGGUAAGUUUAUAUAUGCAGGAACAGGGGAGCUUCCUGAAUUGUAAAGCUGGUUUCAGGACUCAGAACAUAUUCCCCCCCCUCCCGCCCCCGGAAGAAUAUUAAUUACACCAUCAGCGUGAAGGCAGGCACUCUCAAAAGAAGGGCUGGCUGAAAGCUUUUACAUAUAGAAAUAAUUACCAUAGAAAGCCACAGCCUUAUUUAGCCAGAUAGUUGAAUCUCAGUGGUUCCUUUAAUAGCCAAAGUGCACAGAGCUUCCGUGACACCCGACAGCUCAAAUUGUGGAGUGUUAGAAGUCUCACUGU